CUGACCAUCCUGAUAACACAGUUUCUCUUUGUUUCAGAAAGUGGUGGAGAGAGAGCUAGAUGCUCUUUUGGAACAGCAAAAUACCAUUGAAAGUAAGAUGGUCACUCUCCACCGAAUGGGGUGAGUCUGUGCAUCACGGCAAGAGCUAUUAUGAAUUCCAACAGGGUCCACUGCAUAAGUUACCAUUUUUCUUAACUUUCUGUUAUAAACUGCCAGUUGAGUUUGAAGUGGAGAGCAUUAACUCAAGAUAAAGUGAACUACCAAAGGGUAUAUACAUAGUUUAUUGAUUAUCAGAGAGUCCUUGGAACAGGUGAAAACUUGUUAGAGAUACAGAUUCUAGGACCCUAGCCCAAACUUAUUGAAUCUGAAACUCCGAGAGCAUGGUCCAGGAAUAUGUAUUUUAACAAGGCUUCCAGUGAUUCUGAUCCAGUGUAGCUCACAUUUGAGAACCACUGCUUUUAUAGGGAUUGUAUGUUUGCUGGUCAAAAAGAUAUUUUUCAUUGAUCGCAGCAUUUUCUCAGAUUAUUGGUUAGUACAUUUUAGGCUACUUAGCAAUUGGCAGAAUCUGUUUGAUGUUAAUCUAUUUAGGGGCAAAUCUAGUAGUUUUUAAAACUAAUUUUGUAUUAAGUAUAGAACAGUAAAAUACUCUUUGAGAAAAAGCUGUGUGUAAACUGAGGUAAAAGUUAUGGGGAAGUUAAAAAAAAAAAAAAAGACAGUCUCCAUUUGCAAAAAAAUGUUUCCAUCUCUUACUCCUACUUUCUGCCCUUUGAAUAUGUGUGCUAACAAUGUGUGUUUCUAGCCCCAACCUGCAAUUGAUUGAGGGAGAUGCAAAGCAGUUGGCUGGAAUGAUCACUUUUACCUGCAACCUUGCUGAGAAUGUGUCCAGCAAAGUUCGUCAGCUUGACCUAGCCAAGGUAAUCCCUUUGAGUUUUGGAUGUUUCAGUUAAUUGGGGGCAGGAAAGAAGCUACAUUACAGAUUAGAGCAACACCAUCCAGUAGAAAUCUAAUAUGAAAUAUCAGAACCAAAGAAACAACAUGAAAACUAUA
Molecule: long non-coding RNA, 1047 nt
Filed under: Marmota monax (woodchuck)
Lineage: Eukaryota; Metazoa; Chordata; Mammalia; Rodentia; Sciuridae
Source: RNAcentral